CAACCCUCAAGCCUGGCUUGGUAUUGGGCUUCGCCACUCACCUGGCGGGCCUUAAAAUCAGUGGCGGUGCCGUCGAGGCCCUGAGCGCAGUAAAUAUCCUCGCUAUAGGGACCCGGCGGACGCUGGCCAUCAACCCCCAACUUUCUAA
RNAcentral lists this unclassified non-coding RNA (148 nucleotides) under uncultured Helotiales. RNAcentral describes it as "sequence contains ITS2". The record is from RNAcentral. Lineage: Eukaryota; Fungi; Ascomycota; Leotiomycetes; Helotiales.